This 450-nucleotide ribosomal RNA is filed under the name uncultured bacterium. Its description in RNAcentral is "partial 16S ribosomal RNA". It matches the Rfam family "Bacterial small subunit ribosomal RNA", at positions 354 to 796 of the family's 1533-position model. The record is from RNAcentral.
GUGGGGAAUAUUGGACAAUGGGCGAAAGCCUGAUCCAGCCAUGCCGCGUGUGUGAAGAAGGUCUUCGGAUUGUAAAGCACUUUAAGUUGGGAGGAAGGGCAGUAAGUUAAUACCUUGCUGUUUUGACGUUACCGACAGAAUAAGCACCGGCUAACUUCGUGCCAGCAGCCGCGGUAAUACGAAGGGUGCAAGCGUUAAUCGGAAUUACUGGGCGUAAAGCGCGCGUAGGUGGUUUUGUAAGUUGGAGGUGAAAUCCCCGGGCUCAACCUGGGAACUGCCUCCAAAACUUCAUGACUAGAGUACGGUAGAGGGUAGUGGAAUUUCCUGUGUAGCGGUGAAAUGCGUAGAUAUAGGAAGGAACACCAGUGGCGAAGGCGACUACCUGGACUGAUACUGACACUGAGGUGCGAAAGCGUGGGGAGCAAACAGGAUUAGAAACCCUUGUAGUCC